RNAcentral lists this long non-coding RNA (260 nucleotides) under Struthio camelus australis. RNAcentral describes it as "lncRNA (ENSSCUG00000017798.1)". Lineage: Eukaryota; Metazoa; Chordata; Aves; Struthioniformes; Struthionidae. The record is from RNAcentral.
CAAGAUUCUUACAAUUUGGAUAGAUUCAGAUGAAGCUGAUUAUUGUCACAGGGUAUGCUUGUAGCGAGUGUGUGGUCUUCCAGGAACAAACAUAUGCAGAUUGGCAUUAAUCUGAAGAAACAAAGUCUUAACUAUGAGCUUAUUUUUAACCAUGAUGGAAAAUUGUUUAGUACUUUCAAAUCAAGGAUCUUCCUAGAGGGACUCCUGCACUUUUUGAGUAUCUUUCAUCUUUAUUCCAUCAUUCGAAGGAGAACGGAGAG